GACGUAGGUGGCAAGCGUUAUCCGGAUUUACUGGGCGUAAAGCGUGUGCAGACGGGUGUUCAAGUGGUGUAUGAAAUCGCUCGGCUCAACCGGGCGCGGGUAUGCCAGACUGGACACCUGGAGACAGAGAGAGGGACGUGGAAUUCCGGGUGUAGUGGUGAAAUGCGUAGAGAUCCGGAGGAACCCCUGAGGCGAAGGCGGCGUCCUGGCUCUGUUCUGACGUUCAGACACGACAGCAUGGGGAGCGAACGGG
RNAcentral lists this ribosomal RNA (253 nucleotides) under uncultured bacterium. Its description in RNAcentral is "partial 16S ribosomal RNA". It matches the Rfam family "Bacterial small subunit ribosomal RNA", at positions 524 to 776 of the family's 1533-position model. The record is from RNAcentral.